Molecule: long non-coding RNA, 1883 nt
Organism: Lotus japonicus
Lineage: Eukaryota; Viridiplantae; Streptophyta; Magnoliopsida; Fabales; Fabaceae
Exons: 11
Source: RefSeq, a predicted model, not a curated record
CACGUUUCUCUUCCACUCUCUCCCCUCAUGUGCGAAUUUGCCCCCUUUCUGACCUAAUUGCGUGUUUCUUUUCCCUUCUUCCCCUUCCAUUACCUAAUCGCCUGCUUCUGUGCUCCUUGUGGCAGAACCGUAACUGUUGUGUGUUGAUGUCGCCAGCAUCGUGAAUUUUGCAGGCUCUCCCUCACUGUAGUUUGCGUUAGGUUUAGGAGCAGUUGGAGAAGAGAAGAGUGUUGCAGUUUCGAGGAAGGAGAAGGUUAACUAUCUUACCUAUUGUCAGGAGAAGAGAAGAAUCAGAAGCCAUCUUCGUCAGCUGAUAGUACAAGAGGGCCAGGAGCUCCAUCACUUUUUAAUUGUGUAAGUUUUUCCUUCUUUUCUGUAUGUUUUGUUCAUGCAUAAAGGUUAGGGACUUAUGGGGGAAAACCUUUUGUCAAGGUAGUUGAAAUUGGUAAAGGCAGCAAGGUUAAGUCUUAGCUGGACAAGGCAAGUGGACUUAUAAAGGUUGAUCGCAUCCUUUACUCAUCAGUUGUCUACCCACACAACUAUGGUUUUAUCCCAAGAACCAUUUGUGAAGACAAUGAUCCCAUGGAUGUUCUGGUUCUGAUGCAGAAGAUUGAGACAAGUAUUUGAAAAACAAUGAUCCUCUAAUUCAUGGGUGAGGUUGCUGAGGGUAAGGUGUAUAAGGGUUUAGGGCAGAGAUAUUAUCAGAAUAUUUUUUUGAAGAAACCAAGUGAUGAACUGAUUAUUUGAACAAAACAAUUAUGGGAAUUAACAGAACCAAUCAGAUCUUGAGGAUGAUGUUCCAUCAAAGGCAGCCAAGGUGGAUGUCCCAUCAGCCCAGCUUGUAGGUGGAAUGGUGCCGCCUUCUUUGGGUCCAGGAUGUCCUCCUCGAUCAACCUUGGGCCUAAUGCCACCAAUGUAUAAUCAUGCUGUACCUGUGCCUCCUAACGCAUGGGCUGUUCCACCUCGACCUCAGCCAUGAUUUCCACAACCUCCAGCUGUUUCCAUGCCUCCUCCUGUUCCUUAUCCACUACAGCCAUUAUUUCCGGUGCAGAAUAUGAGGCCACCACUGCCAUCAACUACUUCUUUUAUAGUUCAAACUCAUUACUCCUCCUGGAUUGCCUACAUCUGCACCUUCUUCUUGAGGAUCAGAAGAAGCAGCGAAGAUGAUGGGCGAUUUCGUCAUUGAAUUCUGGCCAAGCGUCGGAUCACGUCAGGUAGCAGUUUAUGUCCUGACAAAGAUACAUGGAAGAUCAAGGUUCGUUUUCUUCAUCGAUGCAGAGGGAAAGCAUAUAAGACUAUGGGCAAGGCAUCCACAGUUGUGGCAGUGAACUGCUGAAAGAGGAUGAGGUUAUAGCGUCAUGGUCACUUGUGUGGGGAGGAAAAUCCCAAUAUAGUGAGACAGUGGGAAACAACUUUAUAGCAGGCUAUUUUAGAUUUUAUGAGUUUUGCAGUGAUUGGCGAAGUACCUACCAUCUGUCCUGUCGUCACAAUGAGAGCACGAUCAGAAAGAGGUGUUGUUUGGGUAUUAUUUUGGAUGACCAGUGAUGCAGAAUUUCGUCAUCAUGUCAUGUGCUUCUCCAAUCGAUUUUCAAAGUGCUUGAAAUUUCAUCACAGAGGUGUACGAUGUUGUAGUUGGCUGUUCAGUAGCUUAUGUUUCAGUUUGAACUUGAAGUUGAUCGCCAACUUUUUUUUUGGUCCUGUCUAGCGGGCAAUGUUUAGAUGAAGUUGUUUUUGUUGCUCACUUUUAUGAUAUCAUGUUUAUGUUGGAUCUUUGUUAGUUUGCUAACUAGCAUUUGUGGGUGAUAUCUUUUUGAAUUAUUAUGUAUCCAGUGUCAUGUAAUGUUAUUAUCAUCACUGUGACGAAUGAUUGUGUUAUUUAUUUA